AUUGAACGCUGGCGGCAUGCCUUACACAUGCAAGUCGAACGGUAACAGGUCUUCGGAUGCUGACGAGUGGCGAACGGGUGAGUAAUACAUCGGAACGUGCCCGAUCGUGGGGGAUAACGAAGCGAAAGCUUUGCUAAUACCGCAUACGAUCUACGGAUGAAAGCAGGGGACCGCAAGGCCUUGCGCGAACGGAGCGGCCGAUGGCAGAUUAGGUAGUUGGUGGGAUAAAAGCUUACCAAGCCGACGAUCUGUAGCUGCGCUGAGAGGACGACCAGCCACACUGGGACUGAGACACGGCCCAGACUCCUACGGGAGGCAGCAGUGGGGAAUUUUGGACAAUGGGCGAAAGCCUGAUCCAGCCAUGCCGCGUGCAGGAUGAAGGCCUUCGGGUUGUAAACUGCUUUUGUACGGAACGAAAAGACUCUGGUUAAUACCUGGGGUCCAUGACGGUACCGUAAGAAUAAGCACCGGCUAACUACGUGCCAGCCGCCGCGGUAA
RNAcentral lists this ribosomal RNA (498 nucleotides) under uncultured bacterium. RNAcentral describes it as "partial 16S ribosomal RNA". It matches the Rfam family "Bacterial small subunit ribosomal RNA", at positions 30 to 523 of the family's 1533-position model. The record is from RNAcentral.